CCUACGGGAGGCAGCAGUGAGGAAUAUUGGUCAAUGGGCGGAAGCCUGAACCAGCCAAGUAGCGUGCAGGAUGACGGCCCCACGGGUUGUAAACUGCUUUUAUCCGGGAACAACGCGCCUUACGUGUAGGGCUUUGCAGGUACCGUAUGAAUAAGGAUCGGCUAAUUCCGUGCCAGCAGCCGCGGUAAUACGGAAGGUCCGGGCGUUAUCCGGAUUUAUUGGGUUUAAAGGGUGCGUAGGCCGGAUGUCAAGCGUGCUGUGAAAUGGCCGGGCUCAACCCGGGCCUUGCAGCGCGAACUGGCGUGCUUGAGACCGCGGGAGGCAGGCGGAAUUCGUAGUGUAGCGGUGAAAUGCUUAGAUAUGGCGAAGAACCCCGAUUGCGAAGGCAGCUUGCUGCAGCGGAGCUGACGCUGAGGCUCGAAAGCGCGGGUAUCGAACAGGAUUAGAUACCCGGGUAGUC
RNAcentral lists this ribosomal RNA (460 nucleotides) under uncultured bacterium. Its description in RNAcentral is "partial 16S ribosomal RNA". It matches the Rfam family "Bacterial small subunit ribosomal RNA", at positions 338 to 795 of the family's 1533-position model. The record is from RNAcentral.